GACGAACGCUGGCGGCGUGCUUAACACAUGCAAGUCGAACGGAAAGGCCCUGCUUUUGUGGGGUGCUCGAGUGGCGAACGGGUGAGUAACACGUGAGUAACCUGCCCUUGACUUUGGGAUAACUUCAGGAAACUGGGGCUAAUACCGGAUAGGAGCUCCUGCUGCAUGGUGGGGGUUGGAAAGUUUCGGCGGUUGGGGAUGGACUCGCGGCUUAUCAGCUUGCUGGUGGGGUAGUGGCUUACCAAGGCUUGGACGGGUAGCCGGCCUGAGAGGGUGACCGGCCACAUUGGGACUGAGAUACGGACCAGACUCCUACGGGAGGCAGCAGUGGGGAAUAUUGCACAAUGGGCGGAAGCCUGAUGCAGCGACGCCGCGUGCGGGAUGACGGCCUUCGGGUUGUAAACCGCUUUCGCCUGUGACGAAGCGUGAGUGACGGUAAUGGGUAAAGAAGCACCGGCUAACUACGUG
This 468-nucleotide ribosomal RNA is filed under the name uncultured bacterium. RNAcentral's name for it is "partial 16S ribosomal RNA". It matches the Rfam family "Bacterial small subunit ribosomal RNA", at positions 28 to 507 of the family's 1533-position model. The record is from RNAcentral.